Molecule: signal recognition particle RNA, 299 nt
Filed under: Aotus nancymaae (Ma's night monkey)
Lineage: Eukaryota; Metazoa; Chordata; Mammalia; Primates; Aotidae
Description: Metazoan signal recognition particle RNA (ENSANAG00000007269.1)
Rfam family: Metazoan signal recognition particle RNA
About the family: The signal recognition particle (SRP) is a universally conserved ribonucleoprotein. It is involved in the co-translational targeting of proteins to membranes. The eukaryotic SRP consists of a 300-nucleotide 7S RNA and six proteins: SRPs 72, 68, 54, 19, 14, and 9.
Source: RNAcentral
GCCGGGCGCGGUGGCGUGUGCCUGUAGUCACAGCUACUCGGGAGGCUGAGGUGGGAGGAUCGCUUGAGCCCAGGAGUUCUGGGUUGCAGUGCGCUAUGCUGAUCGGGUGUCCGCACUAAGUUCAGCAUCAAUAUGGUGACCUCCCGAGAGCGGGGGACUACCAGGUUGCCUAAGGAGGGGUGAACGGGUCCAGGUCGGAAACGGAGCAGGUCAAAACUCCCGUGCUGAUCAGUAGUGGGAUCGCGCCUGUGAAUAGCCACUGCACUCCAGCCUGGGCAACAUAGCAAGACCCCGUCUCU